Molecule: non-coding RNA, 92 nt
Organism: Lasiosphaeria ovina
Lineage: Eukaryota; Fungi; Ascomycota; Sordariomycetes; Sordariales; Lasiosphaeriaceae
Source: the annotation of a GenBank genome assembly
UCUUCCGUAGUAUAGUGGUCAGUAUAUGAGCUUGUCACCGUUCUCCGGAACCGGCGCCGCUCGGGACCCGGGUUCAAUUCCCGGCGGGAGAG